GAUAGCCGGCCUAACGGCCGAGUAAUACCGCAUACGCUCUCGAUGAGGCAUUUCAUUGAGAGGAAACCUCCGGGGUAUUUCGAGGGGCUCGCGGCCUAUCAGCUAGUUGGCGAGGUAACGGCUCACCAAGGCAACGACGGGUAGCUGGUCUGAGAGGAUGGCCAGCCACAUUGGGACUGAGAUACGGCCCAGACUCCUACGGGAGGCAGCAGUGGGGAAUCUUGCGCAAUGGCCUAACGGCUGACGCAGCGACGCCGCGUGUGGGAUGAAGCUCUUCGGAGUGUAAACCACUGUUGCCCGGGACGAAUAGCUCGAUUAAUCGAGCCUGACAGUACCGGGUGAGGAAGCACCGGCUAACUCCGUGCCAGCAGCCGCGGUAAUACGGGGGGUGCGAGCGUUGUCCGGAAUCACUGGGCGUAAAGGGCGCGUAGGUGGUUUGAUAAGGGUGUGGUGAAAGUCCGGGGCUCAACCCCGGAUCUGCCGUGCCGACUGUCAAACUCGAGGACUGUAGAGGCAGACGGAAUUCCGGGUGUAGCGGUGGAAUGCGUAGAGAUCCGGAGGAAGACCGGUGGCGAAGGCGGUCUGCUGGGCAGUUUCUGACACUGAGGCGCGACAGCGUGGGGAGCAAACAGGAUUAGAUACCCUGGUAGUCCACGCCGUAAACGAUGGGUACUAGGUGCCUGGGGGAGCGACCCUCUGGGUGCCGGCGCUAACGCAGGAAGUACCCCGCCUGGGGAGUACGACCGCAAGGUUGAAACUCAAAGGAAUUGACGG
Molecule: ribosomal RNA, 774 nt
Filed under: uncultured bacterium
Lineage: Bacteria
Description: bacterial SSU rRNA
Rfam family: Bacterial small subunit ribosomal RNA
Source: RNAcentral